UUCCUCACUUCGGCAGCAGAUAUACUAAAAAUUAGAAUGACACAGAAGAUUCGCAUGUCCCUUGUGCAGAGAUGACGUGAAAAUCUAUCAAGCAUUGCAUAUGUUU
This is a non-coding RNA of Arvicanthis niloticus (Nile rat), 106 nucleotides long. The record is from RefSeq and is a predicted model, not a curated record. NCBI's taxonomy places the organism in Eukaryota, Metazoa, Chordata, Mammalia, Rodentia, Muridae.